AUUGCAGAUAAGAGUGGUAGUGUAGUUACUGUAUCACUUUCUCCAAUCCAAUAACCAAAGGCAUCACAACAAUGGGGAGCAGGGCUCUGCUGAUGCUCACAAACUUCAAUUUUAAAACCACUGUUUCUUCUUUUGGUUCUGCUUCAAACCCUUUUUUUCUUAUUAAAAAUAAUCUCAGAACCCGAAAUUUCUCCACCAAAACAAGGUCUUCUUUGCAGCCACCGGAUUUGCCUGGCUUGGCUGAGACUGCUCGAAUUUCACUCGCCCCAAAUGAGGUUGAAGAAUUUGCUCCCAAAAUUGGACAAGUGAUAGACUGGUUUGGGCAACUUCAAGCUGUUGAUCUUGACAAUGUCGAGCCUGCUAUUAGAGCAGACACUGAAGGUGAUAAUUUGCGUGAAGAUGCUCCUCAAACAUUUGAGAACAAGGAAGCGCUGAUAGCGUCUGUUCCAAGUUAUGAGGAGCCAUAUAUCAAAGUUCCCAAAGUAUUGAACAAGGAGUGACACUAUUUGGAACAAGUAGAGCCAUUCAUACACUUAAGAAAAAGGGUGCAUCUUAAUUUGCAAGAGAACAUUGAGUACUAUGAGGAGGGCAGGAAGGAAGCUUUCUCUUGUAACAAAUGCAUUUCGGGUUUUCCUGAUGCUUUCAAUGUAGCAAUUAUCAUCAAUCUUCUCCUCCUACAGUCUGAAAUUACUUUUGCAUAAGAAACUUGGGACUUUGGAAAGCACCCAUGUCAGGUGCUCAAAGGCAGCAGCGAUUGUGUAGAAAUAGUGGCAUUGUCACCCUUUUCUGGUGAUGACAUAGGUGGCCAAAGUCCCGAGAUUGCCUUCUACAUCAUAGUAAAACAGAAGACCUGUAGCUGGUUCUAGGUCUGGGUCUGGCAAAGCCGCUUGUGAAGUGCAACCUACCAGUGGAAUCGUGACCGAACGCUACAGCAUGAAGCUCCAAAUGCUGCUCAGCUGGGCAACAAUAAGUUAACUAUCGUAUAUACUAUCAUGUCUUUUGGUGUCAAUAUGUUUAUGCAAGUAUCCAUCAUUUACUUGUCACUUAACAGAGUAUGCAGAAACCUGCACGUUUUCAGGCAACUACUGAAGAACUCUCUUGGCAUGCCAUUAUAGAUUUAAUGAUCAUUGGUAA
Gossypium raimondii (Peruvian cotton) is the source of this 1134-nucleotide RNA transcript. It is a transcript of the gene named glutamyl-tRNA(Gln) amidotransferase subunit C, chloroplastic/mitochondrial, with no coding region annotated. The record is from RefSeq and is a predicted model, not a curated record. Lineage: Eukaryota; Viridiplantae; Streptophyta; Magnoliopsida; Malvales; Malvaceae. The transcript is spliced from 7 exons.